Molecule: ribosomal RNA, 403 nt
Filed under: uncultured Nitrosospira sp.
Lineage: Bacteria; Pseudomonadati; Pseudomonadota; Betaproteobacteria; Nitrosomonadales; Nitrosomonadaceae
Description: bacterial SSU rRNA
Rfam family: Bacterial small subunit ribosomal RNA
Source: RNAcentral
UUGGUGAGGUAAAGGCUUACCAAGGCUUCGAUCAGUAGCUGGUCUGAGAGGACGACCAGCCACACUGGGACUGAGACACGGCCCAGACUCCUACGGGAGGCAGCAGUGGGGAAUUUUGGACAAUGGGGGCAACCCUGAUCCAGCCAUGCCGCGUGAGUGAAGAAGGCCUUCGGGUUGUAAAGCUCUUUCAGCCGGAACGAAACGGUCACGGUUAAUAACUGUGAUCACUGACGGUACCGGAAGAAGAAGCACCGGCUAACUACGUGCCAGCAGCCGCGGUAAUACGUAGGGUGCGAGCGUUAAUCGGAAUUACUGGGCGUAAAGCGUGCGCAGGCGGUUUUGUAAGUCAGAUGUGAAAUCCCCGGGCUUAACCUGGGAACUGCGUUUGAACUAACCAAGGCUA